AUAUUAUCCAAGUUAGUUCAGAGCAUUCAUUUAAUGAUCAACUAAUUUUGAUUAAGAAGUAUUCUUCUAUUAUUAACUCAUCUGAAGCUUUGGGAUAUCUGUUUGUCCAACAUGCCUGUGUGACCCACAGUUUGUCAAAGCCAUGGAUGGUUAUUUUUUUAUGAAAUGUUGCUAAUUCCUAAGUGCCAUGUGCAUUAGCAUGUAAUGGUUUAUUUCUCAGGUUAA
This 225-nucleotide unclassified non-coding RNA is filed under the name Hevea brasiliensis (rubber tree). Lineage: Eukaryota; Viridiplantae; Streptophyta; Magnoliopsida; Malpighiales; Euphorbiaceae. The record is from RNAcentral.